RNAcentral lists this long non-coding RNA (807 nucleotides) under Apteryx owenii (little spotted kiwi). RNAcentral describes it as "lncRNA (ENSAOWG00000012796.1)". The record is from RNAcentral. Lineage: Eukaryota; Metazoa; Chordata; Aves; Apterygiformes; Apterygidae.
UAGGUAGGAAGUAUCGAACUGGAUCACGAGGGGUCCUAUGGCCUGCUCUCCUGAUGUUCAGUGCCCUUCACCAGGUGCUUCUGAGGACAAGAAACUCUUUGGUGAGGUGUCUCAAAGAGACAGGCACAGUACCCUGCUUAAAGAGCUCUGCAGAGACAGUUUAAACGGGACUACUGUUUCAAGCCGUCAGCUGCUGCAGGAAGCUAAGCCAUAUUUUUAAUGAUUUUGCAGCUGUCAGAAUUAUGAAGGCAAAACCAUGACUUUCCAAGAGACCAUAGGCCACAUUUCUGCAAAAAAGGGUAGAUUAGGGAUGACUCAGUAGCACAGAAUCUCUGGAGUCUUGAUUUCAGUCUCCGAGGGAUGGGUUUCUGUCUUAGUGACUAUAUUUAAAUUUGAGGAAGGCUAGUGGAUAACAACAAAUUUAUGAGAGAAUCGUUGAGAGAAUACUUCUGGUGCUGAAGACACACCGUCAGCUCCAUUGCCAACUUAAUGUGGUCAUAUCAAGCUAAGCCAAGGGUCCUGACCUGACUUCUGCUGGAUACGUGUGUGUCUAACCCUUCUCCUUUCCGAGAAGAAGCCAGCUCAGAAUGAGGAUGUGUAUCUGAAGGGAGAACAUGCUUUACCGCAGCCCCCUCCCCAAAAGAGGAAAACACUCUUAAGUAAUCCAGUGAGACCAGCAGUGGGUUGUGCUUGCUGUUUUUGGUAAUCAACGCCUUGGAGAGGUGCACUUGCCUCUCAGCCUUUUCUCAAAGCCAACAAGCAAGAGAUGGUGAUGGAUACCAGUUGCUUUUGACCUGCUUUUGGAAA